GGCCUAACACAUGCAAGUCGAACGGUAAGUUAAGAGCUUGCUCUUAACACGAGUGGCGAACGGGUGCGUAACGCGUAUGCAAUCUACCCUUUUCUGGAAGAUAGCCCUUAGAAAUGAGGAUUAAUACUCCAUAGUAUAACAAUUUCGCAUGUUAUUGUUAUUAAAGCUUCGGCGGAAAAGGAUGAGCAUGCGUCCCAUUAGUUAGUUGGUAGGGUAACGGCCUACCAAGACUCCGAUGGGUAGGGGGCCUGAGAGGGUUAUCCCCCACACUGGUACUGAGACACGGACCAGACUCCUACGGGAGGCAGCAGUGAGGAAUAUUGGUCAAUGGAGGCAACUCUGAACCAGCCAUGCCGCGUGCAGGAUGACUGCCCUAUGGGUUGUAAACUGCUUUUAUGUAGGAAGAAACCUCAGUACGUGUACUGAGCUGACGGUACUACACGAAUAAGGACCGGCUAACUCCGUGCCAGCAGCCGCGGUAAUACGGAGGGUCCAAGCGUUAUCCGGAUUUAUUGGGUUUAAAGGGUACGUAGGCGGAAGAUUAAGUCAGUAGUGAAAGCCCAUCGCUCAACGAUGGAACUGCUAUUGAUACUGGUUUUCUUGAGUAUACUUGAAGUAGGCGGAAUACGACAUGUAGCGGUGAAAUGCAUAGAUAUGUCGUAGAACACCGAUUGCGAAGGCAGCUUACUAAGGUAUUAUUGACGCUAAUGUACGAAAGCGUGGGGAGCGAACAGGAUUAGAUACCCUGGUAGUCCACGCCGUAAACGA
RNAcentral lists this ribosomal RNA (768 nucleotides) under uncultured Bacteroidota bacterium. RNAcentral describes it as "bacterial SSU rRNA". It matches the Rfam family "Bacterial small subunit ribosomal RNA", at positions 45 to 809 of the family's 1533-position model. The record is from RNAcentral. Lineage: Bacteria; Pseudomonadati; Bacteroidota.